GAUGAACGCUGGCGGCGCGCCUAACACAUGUAAGUCGAACGAUUAAAGCACCUUCGGGUGUGUAUAAAGUGGCGAACGGCUGAGUAACACGUGGGCAACCUGCCCCUUUCAUUGGGAUAGCCACGGGAAACCGUGGAUAAUACCGAAUACUUCGAGACUUCCGCAUGGAAGACUCGAGAAAGCUCCGGCGGAGAGGGAUGGGCCCGCGGCCUGUUAGCUUGUUGGUGGGGUAACGGCCUACCAAGGCAAUGAUGGGUAGCUGGGUUGAGAGACCGACCAGCCAGAUUGGGACUGAGACACGGCCCAGACUCCUACGGGAGGCAGCAGUGGGGAAUCUUGCACAAUGGGCGAAAGCCUGAUGCAGCGACGCCGCGUGCGGGAUGAAGGCCUUCGGGUUGUAAACCGCUUUCAGCAGGGACGAGGCGAAAGUGACGGUACCUGCAGAAGAAGCCCCGGCUAACUACGUG
This 467-nucleotide ribosomal RNA is filed under the name uncultured bacterium. RNAcentral describes it as "partial 16S ribosomal RNA". It matches the Rfam family "Bacterial small subunit ribosomal RNA", at positions 28 to 507 of the family's 1533-position model. The record is from RNAcentral.